GACGAACGCUGGCGGCGUGCCUAACACAUGCAAGUCGAACGGAAAGGCCCUGCUUUUGUGGGGUGCUCGAGUGGCGAACGGGUGAGUAACACGUGAGUAACCUGCCCUUGACUUUGGGAUAACUUCAGGAAACUGGGGCUAAUACCGGACAGGAGCUCCUGCUGCAUGGCGGGGGUUGGAAAGUUUCGGCGGUUGGGGAUGGACGCGCGGCUUAUCAGCUUGUUGGUGGGGUAGUGGCUUACCAAGGCUUUGACGGGUAGCCGGCCUGAGAGGGUGACCGGCCACAUUAGGCCUGAGGUACGCCCCAGACUCCUACGGGAGGCAACAGUGGGAAGUAUUGCACAGUGGGCGGGAGCCUGUUGCGGCGGCGCCGCGUGCGGGAUGACGGCCUUCGGGUUAUAAACCGCUUUCGCCUGUGACGAAGCGUGAGUGACGGUAAUGGAUAAAGAAGCACCGGCUAACUACGUG
RNAcentral lists this ribosomal RNA (468 nucleotides) under uncultured bacterium. RNAcentral's name for it is "partial 16S ribosomal RNA". It matches the Rfam family "Bacterial small subunit ribosomal RNA", at positions 28 to 507 of the family's 1533-position model. The record is from RNAcentral.